RNAcentral lists this ribosomal RNA (497 nucleotides) under uncultured bacterium. Its description in RNAcentral is "partial 16S ribosomal RNA". It matches the Rfam family "Bacterial small subunit ribosomal RNA", at positions 28 to 507 of the family's 1533-position model. The record is from RNAcentral.
GAUGAACGCUGGCGGCGUGCCUAAUACAUGCAAGUCGAGCGAACAGAUAAGGAGCUUGCUCCUUUGACGUUAGCGGCGGACGGGUGAGUAACACGUGGGUAACCUACCUAUAAGACUGGAAUAACUCCGGGAAACCGGGGCUAAUGCCGGAUAACAUUUAGAACCGCAUGGUUCUAAAGUGAAAGAUGGUUUUGCUAUCACUUAUAGAUGGACCCGCGCCGUAUUAGCUAGUUGGUAAGGUAACGGCGUACCAAGGCAACGAUACGUAGCCGACCUGAGAGGGUGAUCGGCCACACUGGAACUGAGACACGGUCCAGACUCCUACGGGAGGCAGCAGUAGGGAAUCUUCCGCAAUGGGCGAAAGCCUGACGGAGCAACGCCGCGUGAGUGAUGAAGGUCUUCGGAUCGUAAAACUCUGUUAUUAGGGAAGAACAAAUGUGUAAGUAACUGUGCACGUCUUGACGGUACCUAAUCAGAAAGCCACGGCUAACUACGUG